UAGGGAAUAUUGGACAAUGGGCGAGAGCCUGAUCCAGCCAUGCCGCGUGCAGGAAGAAGGCCUUCUGGGUUGUAAACUGCUUUUGCCAGGGGAUAAAAGACCCGUGCGCGGGGAAUUGAAGGUACCUGGUGAAUAAGCCACGGCUAACUACGUGCCAGCAGCCGCGGUAAUACGUAGGUGGCAAGCGUUGUCCGGAUUUAUUGGGUUUAAAGGGUGCGUAGGCGGUUCUAUAAGUCAGUGGUGAAAUACGGCAGCUCAACUGUCGAGGUGCCAUUGAUACUGUAGAACUUGAGUACAGACGAGGUAGGCGGAAUUGACGGUGUAGCGGUGAAAUGCUUAGAUAUCGUCAAGAACACCGAUAGCGAAGGCAGCUUACUAGACUGUAACUGACGCUGAGGCACGAAAGUGUGGGGAUCAAACAGGAUUAGAUACCCCCGUAGUCC
RNAcentral lists this ribosomal RNA (443 nucleotides) under uncultured bacterium. RNAcentral describes it as "bacterial SSU rRNA". It matches the Rfam family "Bacterial small subunit ribosomal RNA", at positions 355 to 796 of the family's 1533-position model. The record is from RNAcentral.